AUUGAACGCUGGCGGCAGGCCUAACACAUGCAAGUCGAGCGAGAGGCGGACGGGUGAGUAAUGUCUGGGAAUCUGCCCGAUGGAGGAGGAUAACUACUGGACACGGUAGCUAAUACCGCAUACCAUCGGAUGUGCCCAGAUGGGAUUAGCUAGUAGGUGGGGUAAAGGCUCACCAGGGCGACGAUCUCUCGCUGGUCUGAGAGGAUGACCAGCAACACUGGAACGGAGACACGGUCCAGACUCCUACGGGAGGCAGCAGUGGGGAAUAUUGCACAAUGGGCGCAAGCCUGAUGCAGCCAUGCCGCGUGUAUGAAGAAGGCCUUCGGGUUGUAAAGUACUUUCAGCGGGGAGGCGUUACUCGCAGAAGAAGCACCGGCUAACUCCGUGCCAGCAGCCGCGGUAAUAC
This 406-nucleotide ribosomal RNA is filed under the name uncultured bacterium. RNAcentral's name for it is "partial 16S ribosomal RNA". It matches the Rfam family "Bacterial small subunit ribosomal RNA", at positions 30 to 526 of the family's 1533-position model. The record is from RNAcentral.